CAUGAUAAUCCACUGCCUAUUCUUGUAGUUGUCUUUCCAAUUUUUAUUUUUGUUCUUUACAAUGCCCUUACCCAUGUUACAUGGACUUGCAAAGCAGUGUCCAGUUGGGUAUGCAACCAUGUGUAGAGCUCAUCUACUUGGGAUAUUUUCCAUUAUUUUCUAUAGUAACAAUAUCCUAUCAAUGUAGAAGUGUUGGAUAUGGGGUAUCUGCACUUCAAGCUGAAAUUGUCUGGAACUCUGGGUUUUGGUAGGGAAUGUCGCCUACCACCUUUGGAUGAAGAACCGGCGAGGCUUCUAAUGCACCACAAAGCACUGUGGUUGUUUCCACUUUAAGCUUGACAAAAAUCAAGUUAUUCCUUGUAUAUAUAUAUAUAUAUAUU
This is a long non-coding RNA of Populus nigra (black poplar), 380 nucleotides long. RefSeq lists it as uncharacterized. The record is from RefSeq and is a predicted model, not a curated record. NCBI's taxonomy places the organism in Eukaryota, Viridiplantae, Streptophyta, Magnoliopsida, Malpighiales, Salicaceae. The transcript is spliced from 2 exons.